ACUACGUAUAGGAGGUCUUACUGCCCAGUGACAAGUUUUAACGGCGCGGUAUUUUGACCGUGCGAAGGUAGCGCAAUCACUUGUCUUUUAAAUGAAGACCUGUAUGAAUGGUAGAACGAGGGCUUAACUGUCUCCCCUUUCCAGUCAAUGAAAUUGAUCUGCCCGUGCAGAAGCGGACAUAUAAAUACAAGACGAGAAGACCCUUUGGAGCUUUAGAUAAAAGAUCACCUAUGUCAAGACUAAUAAAAUAAGUCAAACCAAAUAGUAAUUGAUCCAAAUCUUUUGUUGGGGCGACCGCGGGAAAAAGAAAAGCUCCCACGAGGACUGAGACAACCCACUCAAAACCAAGAAAGACAUUUCUAAGUCACAGAAUUUCUGACCUUAAAGAUCCGGCCAACCGCCGAUCAACGGACCAAGUUACCCUAGGGAUAACAGCGCAAUCCCCUUCCAGAGUCCAUAUCGACAAGGGGGUUUACGACCUCGAUGUUGGAUCAGGACAUCCUAAUGGUGCAGCCGCCUAUUAAGGGUUCGUUUGUUCAACGAUUAAAGUCCUACGUGAUCUGAG
RNAcentral lists this ribosomal RNA (565 nucleotides) under Chasmocranus brevior. RNAcentral's name for it is "partial 16S ribosomal RNA". It matches the Rfam family "Bacterial large subunit ribosomal RNA", at positions 1838 to 2609 of the family's 2925-position model. Lineage: Eukaryota; Metazoa; Chordata; Actinopteri; Siluriformes; Heptapteridae. The record is from RNAcentral.